This 1354-nucleotide ribosomal RNA is filed under the name uncultured bacterium. RNAcentral's name for it is "bacterial SSU rRNA". It matches the Rfam family "Bacterial small subunit ribosomal RNA", at positions 28 to 1381 of the family's 1533-position model. The record is from RNAcentral.
GAUGAACGCUAGCGACAGGCUUAACACAUGCAAGUCGAGGGGCAGCACAGGUAGCAAUACCGGGUGGCGACCGGCGCACGGGUGAGUAACGCGUAUGCAACUUACCUAUCAGAGGGGGAUAACCCGGCGAAAGUCGGACUAAUACCGCAUGAAGCAGGGGUCCCGCAUGGGGAUAUUUGCUAAAGAUUCAUCGCUGAUAGAUAGGCAUGCGUUCCAUUAGGCAGUUGGCGGGGUAACGGCCCACCAAACCGACGAUGGAUAGGGGUUCUGAGAGGAAGGUCCCCCACAUUGGUACUGAGACACGGACCAAACUCCUACGGGAGGCAGCAGUGAGGAAUAUUGGUCAAUGGGCGUAAGCCUGAACCAGCCAAGUCGCGUGAGGGAUGAAGGUUCUAUGGAUCGUAAACCUCUUUUAUAAGGGAAUAAAGUGCGGGACGUGUCCCGUUUUGUAUGUACCUUAUGAAUAAGGAUCGGCUAACUCCGUGCCAGCAGCCGCGGUAAUACGGAGGAUUCGAGCGUUAUCCGGAUUUAUUGGGUUUAAAGGGUGCGUAGGCGGCCUUUUAAGUCAGCGGUGAAAGUCUGUGGCUCAACCAUAGAAUUGCCGUUGAAACUGGGGGGCUUGAGUAUGUUUGAGGCAGGCGGAAUGCGUGGUGUAGCGGUGAAAUGCUUAGAUAUCACGCAGAACCCCGAUUGCGAAGGCAGCCUGCCAAGCCAUGACUGACGCUGAUGCACGAAAGCGUGGGGAUCAAACAGGAUUAGAUACCCUGGUAGUCCACGCAGUAAACGAUGAUCACUAGCUGUUUGCGAUACAGUGUAAGCGGCACAGCGAAAGCGUUAAGUGAUCCACCUGGGGAGUACGCCGGCAACGGUGAAACUCAAAGGAAUUGACGGGGCCCGCACAAGCGGAGGAACAUGUGGUUUAAUUCGAUGAUACGCGAGGAACCUUACCCGGGUUUGAACGCAUUCGGACCGAGGUGGAAACACCUUUUCUAGCAAUAGCCGUUUGCGAGGUGCUGCAUGGUUGUCGUCAGCUCGUGCCGUGAGGUGUCGGCUUAAGUGCCAUAACGAGCGCAACCCUUGCCACUAGUUACUAACAGGUGAUGCUGAGGACUCUGGUGGGACUGCCAGCGUAAGCUGCGAGGAAGGCGGGGAUGACGUCAAAUCAGCACGGCCCUUACAUCCGGGGCGACACACGUGUUACAAUGGCGUGGACAAAGGGAAGCCACCUGGCGACAGGGAGCGAAUCCCCAAACCACGUCUCAGUUCGGAUCGGAGUCUGCAACCCGACUCCGUGAAGCUGGAUUCGCUAGUAAUCGCGCAUCAGCCAUGGCGCGGUGAAUACGUUCCCGGGCCU